GGGGUAGCCCGGACCGAUGUGUAGAGAGGGAGUAGGGAGGAAGAGGAUGAGGCCGGCGGCGGUGCCGAUCCGGCCGCACCACCGCGCAGUAGUCGAGGAGGGGUGCGGAGGUGGUCGAGGUGGCGCGGUAGAGGUGGUGGGUGGUGUGCGGUGCUUUAGGUAGGUGGUAACGGUGAUAGAGGUCGGUGGCUGCGUGGAGCGCGCGGACUGGUCUGUUCUCCCAGUGCCCGUAGACCAGGAGGUGCACUCACAGGGCACGACGACUAGAAGAAGAGGAGUGGUGCGACGACGAGAAGGGAGAGGUAGAGACGACGACAAGAAGAAGGGGAACGACGAGGACGGAGGAGAGGCAACGUAGAGGGAAUCGUGACGACGACGAAGAGAGAAGACGCAGGGGACGACGAGGAUUGAAAGAGUUAGAGACGACGAAGAAGAGACCCUGGGGAACGACGACGAAGAGAGACUUGGCUUGACAAAGACGAGGGAGAGCGUGCUUGGACGACGACGAGAAGAGAGGGACUACGGGAACGAAGUAGAGACUUGGUUAGAGACAACGACAAGAAGUAGUGGUUGGGCUCGGUUGACAACAAGAGAGAGAGAGAGAGAGAGAGAGAGAAACACACACACACACACACAUUAAGUAGUUUUAAUAACAACACACUACUACUAUGAACAAGUCAGGCUUCUGUACACAACAAGAAUAAAACAUCUGGUAACUCUCAAACAUGACAAUGUAACACUGGGAGUAAAGUUUACAUACUCUCGAUCGAUAUAUACAGUUUAUAUAAGACAUGAACGACUACUAACCACAGGUCAAAUAACAAGAACACUAUAUUUAUGUACACACACACACAAACUACACUUUAUUAAUAUAUAUAUACACCGGACAAACAGUCGAUCACUAAACAUAUUUAAGUCUAGUGAUGAACACUAAAAUAAAACAUAACUUAAAUGAGAGACACCAUCAGUCAACACACUAGUAAAUUAAAAGUCAGAGACAUAAUCGAGACAUGGACAUUAUAAACAAAACUGUACUUCGUAAAAGUAGGGACAGGUAAUAGAACAAAGAAGAGAGACAGUAUGUGAACAAUCUAUAUACACAAGAUCAUAACAACAAAGGGAAACCGGUAUAAACAUACGAACACAGUCGCAGAUGAAACUUUCAUGUUAGACUUGGAGGGAAACAAAUACACAGAAAAGGAAAUAACUAUGAGAACAAUCACAAUCAAAUAAAAGAUAAAAGUAGUGGGUUAUAGUACAAUGGAUCGAAAUCGACUCGUAUCAACAGCAGCGGAUCAGGGAUUCCUCUUCUGCUAUGAGCUUCAAACCCCGCAUUUUUGGGACGAUAUAAUGAUAGCUAGUAAAACCACAGCAACGGCCCCUGAUCGCAGCUCACUGGCACAAUCCGAUAUCUGAUCCAAAUAAAAUCAAGGCACAAAUUAAGCAGCACAUAAAGUAAAAGACGCAAAGAAAAUAUAUAUAAAAAAGGAACAACAACGAAACCGAAUAAUCCUAUGAUUGGAAGACUGAUCACAAAUGACAAAUACUUACACACAUCCCUUAGUAUUUAGAAACGUCCAACAAGAUAUCAAUGUGAACCAAUUCUAUACCGUAACGAAGCACUAGAAACCUACGGUUCAUCAGUUACAAUAUAGUGUCCUGGCCAAACCGGUUGAUAACUCCAUCUCUUAAAACUCGACUUCGGACCAGAAUAACGAAACCAAGUUGUUGUUGUCAAACCUCCUGACGGAUGACUCCUAGGGAUACUCGUGAAUGUGGCUCAGUACCUCAUAAGUCUAUGUCAGUUCAUGGUACCUCAAGGAGUUCUACGUUAGGACACGUCCGACAAGUGUAAGAGGGAGGCGCUACUACGAGCACGAACCAUAGCUAGGAACGGUAGUUCCAGUAUGUCAACCUUACUCUAUAGCGCUCGAAAGAACCUAUUUAUAAAGGGUGAUGUGUUCGUCAGGUGUUAAGCUCUACUCUAGAAGUUAAAGCAAGUCGCACUUCCGCUCUCGAACAUACUACGAACCCUCUCUAUGUUUCGGAAUAAGUCCUCUACAGGAUUAGUACCCGAGCUCUCUACCAAUCUCAACGUCUAUAAGAUAUCUCCUAACUGAAGUUUGUGAGCUCGAAUACAGCUAUACCGUCGCCCACCUCGAUAAUGUUUGUUCUGUGAACUACUUCGAAAAGACGACUAACUCUCGUAUCGAAGGGUGGUUGAAGUCACCAUGUUAUUCUUCGGGUGUAGACUAAGUAACCAAACGAACGUUGUUUAGUGAUGUGGAGUUGGUGGUUAAGAAUGUCUUUUCGGGCUCGGAGAUAGAGUCACACUGUUCCAACUCGAACGUACCUAAUAUAAACUGCUACUACUGUGGUAAGAUCAACUGUGUGUGCGAUGUCUAGUAGACCUAUGAUCACAACCUCUAAGUCAAAACGUAACACUACUAAGAAGGUACCUACUCGGUCACGACGUCAAGCAACGAAAACUAUAACUCCUCAGUGGAAAUCAACUAUAACUAGUACACGACGAUCUCGGUCUAUACCUCUUCAAGCGGAAACUACUACAAUCGGCGUAACUAAGAAGUUGUGAACUCGGACUCUACCUCUCGAAGUACCAACUAAUACCCACUGGUUCAAGCUCUACUGUAGGGUACCCUAGGACCACCUAAGUGCCGUACCACUUCUCCUCUUCGUUCCCCCGUGUGUGCUUCUUCUCACUUCGACCUCGUAGGUACUCCUUCGUUUCCUCUUCUCCUCGUUGAAUCUCUACUAGCUCGUUCACGAUGUGGUAGUUUCGGGCCACUCGACAAAGUACUGGGGUUAGACUUAUAUAGUAGGCAACUAUUACCAUUUUAGUAAGCUAUAAACUCAACGAACUCGGUAAAGAAUUUACUACAGGGUGACCUAAAAUAAACUGUAUAACACGAACUACACUUGUACUCUUGACAACAACUUACGGAACAUUUGAUCACUAGAUGUAUGACGAACGAAACGACUUUAAUCACUUUAAAUAAUCAAAACUCACGAGUUAGGGAUCAUGUGAUCUUUUGAAUUAGUAAAAGACGAAAAUGGAACUAUGUGGAUCUAGUAAUUCACAGUCUACGACUCAAACACGGAUUACAUAAGGGUAACUCUCGUUAGUGGAUUGAUGAUACCUAAUCAUACGAUACAAGGGACCUAGCCAUCGUACACUUGGUCUGUACCUCUUCACUACUAAGGAUAAAAACACGAAUACGCAACAAGUAAAUUCUAUUCAUUAUUACUUAUUUAUUCAGACCAGAUGGAUGUCAUCGUACAGUACAAGGGACCUAGCCACCGUACACUUUAGACCAUCGAACCUGUCAUUAAUUAUUUUUUUACAUUAACAGCUUGGUCCACAUAUGGUACAAGAACCCUAGCCACCAUACAAGGAAACCCCUCUGUUUUUUUUGAUUAUUAACCAGCUAGGUCCACAUAUGGUACAAGAGCCCUAGCCAUCAUACAAGGAAACCACUCUGACUAUUUUAUAAUAGUAAUGAAGGAAGUUGAAAUUAUUCACCAAGUUGGUGUUACAAUAUAAAAACGUUUAUUCACUAAAUUAAGUUCGAGGAAAACAAGAGUCCUAGUACACUAGAAAUCCUUGGAAAACCGUGUCAGUCGUAAACUUGAACGAUUAGAAGCAAAUAGUAACGUUUUCAAAUUUUACCAGCUCAAAUGAUCACAGGAUAACUAUACAUCGUGAGAAUUGGUAAUUAAAAGUGAUCGGUUCAGGUUUCGUACGUGACAAAUCUCUAGAUGAAGUGAACUGUAAGAGAUCAGUCAAGUGACAAGUACAAGAACGAAAACAGUAUGCGGAAACGAACUCCUGUUCGUUUUCAAAUUCACACCCCCUUGAACUAUUCUUGUAAAGUAUAUAUGUUAAAACCGUAUCUUUAUAUAAUAAAUAACUCUAUACUGGUAAUUAAGAACGACACUUUAUAACUUAUAAACGUACUUUUAGUAUAUUUCAUAGUAAAUGAUCAGAAACCAGAUAAAACGUCUUUACACGCGUUUCCGUGAUAUUUAGAAGUUCUAGGCCUGAUUCACCGAUUCUCUUGCUUCUUCUCCUCCUUCUUACCUGAACACGUUCUUCUUUGCUUCAUCGGUCCCCCCGUUGAUAUCUUCGCUCCUAGAUGAACCCUUCUUUCUUCUUUCCACCUCCCGGUUUCAUUUUUUUCUGUCUAGUCUAGUGCCCCCUAGUUUUAUUGAUCGUGCGGAGGUAAGGGGUAGCCCGGACCGAUGUGUAGAGAGGGAGCGGGGAGGAAGAGGAUGAGGCUGGCGGCGGUGCCGAUCCGGCCGCACCACCGCGCAGUAGUCGAGGAGGGGUGCGGAGGUGGUCGAGGUGGCGCGGUAGAAGUGGUGGGUGGUGUGCGUUGGUUUAGGUAGGUGGUAGCGGUGGUAGAGGUCGGUGGCGGCGUGGAGUGCGCGGACUGGUCUGUUCUCCCAGUGCCCGCAGACCAGGAGACGCACUUACGGAGCACGACGACUAGAAGAAGAGGAGUGGUGCGACGAAGAGAAGGGAGAGGUAGAGACGACGACAAGAAGAAGGGGAACGACGACGACGGAGGAGAGGCAACGUAGAGGGAAUCGCGACGACGACGAAGAGAGAAUACGCAGGGGACGACGAGGAUUGAAAGAGUUAGAGACGACGAAGAAGAGACCCUGGGGAACGACGACGAAGAGAGACUUGGCUUGACAACGACGAGGGAGAGCGUGCUUGGACGACGACGUGAAGAGAGGGACUACGGGAACGAAGUAGAGACUUGGGUAGAGACGACGACAAGAAGUAGUGGUUGGGCUCGGUUGACAACAAGAGAGAGAGAGAGAGAGAGAGAGAGAGAGAGAGAGAGAAACACACACACACACACACACAUUAAGUAGUUUUAAUAACAACACACUACUACUAUGAACAAGUCAGGCUUCUGUACACAACAAGAAUAAAACAUCUGGUAACUCUCAAACAUGACAAUGUAACACUGGGAGUAAAGUUUACAUACUCUCGAUCGAUAUAUACAGUUUAUAUAAGACAUGAACGACUACUAACCACAGGUCAAAUAACAAGAACACUAUAUUUAUGUACACACACACACAAACUACACUUUAUUAAUAUAUAUAUACACCGGACAAACAGUCGAUCACUAAACAUAUUUAAGUCUAGUGAUGAACACUAAAAUAAAACAUAACUUAAAUGAGAGACACCAUCAGUCAACACACUAGUAAAUUAAAAGU
Molecule: ribosomal RNA, 5250 nt
Filed under: Triticum aestivum (bread wheat)
Lineage: Eukaryota; Viridiplantae; Streptophyta; Magnoliopsida; Poales; Poaceae
Description: partial small subunit ribosomal RNA
Source: RNAcentral